ACGGGAGGCAGCAGUGGGGAAUAUUGGGCAAUGGGCGCAAGCCUGACCCAGCAACGCCGCGUGAAGGAAGAAGGCUUUCGGGUUGUAAACUUCUUUUAUUAGGGACGAAGAAAGUGACGGUACCUGAUGAAUAAGCCACGGCUAACUACGUGCCAGCAGCCGCGGUAAUACGUAGGUGGCAAGCGUUGUCCGGAUUUACUGGGUGUAAAGGGCGCGUAGGCGGGACAGCAAGUCAGAUAUGAAAUCCAUGGGCUGAACCCAUGAACUGCAUUUGAAACUGUUGUUCAUGAGUGUCGGAGAGGUAGAUGGAAUUCCUAGUGUAGCGGUAAAAUGCGUAGAUAUUAGGAGGAACACCAGUGGCGAAGGCGAUCUACUGGACGAUAACUGACGCUGAGGCGCGAAAGCGAGGGGAGCAAACAGGAUUAGAUACCCUGGUA
RNAcentral lists this ribosomal RNA (437 nucleotides) under uncultured Oscillospiraceae bacterium. Its description in RNAcentral is "partial 16S ribosomal RNA". It matches the Rfam family "Bacterial small subunit ribosomal RNA", at positions 341 to 792 of the family's 1533-position model. Lineage: Bacteria; Bacillati; Bacillota; Clostridia; Eubacteriales; Oscillospiraceae. The record is from RNAcentral.